UGCGUAGGCGGAACUGCAAGUGUCUUGUGAAAUCCCUCGGCUUAACCGAGGAAUUGCUUGGCAAACUGCAGUUCUUGAGGCAAGUAGGGGUGUGUGGAACUCUUGGUGGAGCGGUGGAAUGCGUAGAUAUCAAGAGGAACGCCGAAGGUGAAGACAGCACACUGGACUUGUUCUGACGCUGAGGCAACGAAAGCGUGGGGAGCAAACA
This 208-nucleotide ribosomal RNA is filed under the name uncultured bacterium. RNAcentral's name for it is "partial 16S ribosomal RNA". It matches the Rfam family "Bacterial small subunit ribosomal RNA", at positions 568 to 774 of the family's 1533-position model. The record is from RNAcentral.